CCUUUCCACUACAGCUUCCCUUCCCCUGAUUCUCUGGAGCUUUCUGGAGUGUCCCUGGAACAUAACUCUACAUCACCUGCAACACUGCAGCCCAUGGCUGAAAAGACUGUAAAAGGGGAGAAAGCGACAUCAUUGAGCAGGAAGGAUAUGGAAGAGUUGAAAGAAAAACCCAGAAUUUCCAUAAAAAGCACUGGACACAAACAAUAUAUGAAAAUGUAGAGUGCACUUCAAUCUGGAGAGUAUAUGGAGAACUAUUUCACCCCUGGAGAAAAUAUCUUAAUAAUUUUCUAUAGUUUCUUAAAUUUGAUAACAGAAGAGAGAAGAUGCUACUGACAAUGAAUUUUACCCACGUGAGCAGAUGUGGUUGAAAAAAAAACCUGAUGCUUGACCGACAGAUCCUACCACAAUGAGCAAACAUGCAGACUCUUCCCUGUUGUUCUGAUAAGUAUUCUGUUUGCAGUUCCUGCACUAUUUUCAGUUUUGCAUAUUCCAUAAAGAAAAACCUUGUGCAUUGUUCACUCAACAAUAGGCUUCUCUGUCAGAUGCCAUGGUGUCUCAAUAUACAGCUGCCAUACUGCCUUAUAAAAUGGUUCCUUUGCUUCCCUAUGCUACUUUUUAAUAUUUAUUAAGCACUUACUAUGUAUC
This is a long non-coding RNA of Ornithorhynchus anatinus (platypus), 645 nucleotides long. RefSeq lists it as uncharacterized. NCBI's taxonomy places the organism in Eukaryota, Metazoa, Chordata, Mammalia, Monotremata, Ornithorhynchidae. The transcript is spliced from 3 exons. The record is from RefSeq and is a predicted model, not a curated record.